UACGGAGGGUGCGAGCGUUGUCCGGAAUCAUUGGGCGUAAAGGGCGCGUAGGUGGCGGCUUAAGCGUGCGGUGAAAGCUCGGGGCUCAACCCCGAGUCGGCCGUGCGAACUGAGUCGCUUGAGCACUGUAGAGGCAGGCGGAAUUCCGGGUGUAGCGGUGGAAUGCGUAGAGAUCCGGAAGAACACCGGUGGCGAAGGCGGCCUGACUGGGCAGUAGCUGACACUGAGGCGCGACAGCGUGGGAGCAAACAGG
RNAcentral lists this ribosomal RNA (253 nucleotides) under uncultured bacterium. RNAcentral's name for it is "partial 16S ribosomal RNA". It matches the Rfam family "Bacterial small subunit ribosomal RNA", at positions 524 to 776 of the family's 1533-position model. The record is from RNAcentral.